This 253-nucleotide ribosomal RNA is filed under the name uncultured bacterium. Its description in RNAcentral is "partial 16S ribosomal RNA". It matches the Rfam family "Bacterial small subunit ribosomal RNA", at positions 524 to 776 of the family's 1533-position model. The record is from RNAcentral.
UACGUAGGCACCAAGCGUUGUUCGGAAUUACUGGGCGUAAAGGGCGCGUAGGCGGUUUGCUAAGUCGGAUGUGAAAACUCUGGGCUCAACCCAGAGCCUGCAUCCGAAACUGGCAGGCUAGAGUUCUGGAGAGGGUAGCGGAAUUCCUGGUGUAGCGGUGAAAUGCGUAGAUAUCUGGAGGAACACCGGUGGCGAAGGCGGCAUCCUGGACCAACACUGACACUGAGGAGCGAAAGCCAGGGGAGCAAACGGG